UAAGUAAGUUUUGAAAUUAACAAAUAUUUAAUGGAAUCAAAAAUAUAGAAUACCAUUUGAUUCCAAGGUUCUGUUGGCACUAUAUGAUAAAUUGAUAUAUAACCUAUUGGGAUUACAAAAUAUUUUUUGCAUCUUUUUGCAUACCCCAUACACAUUUUUUCAAAAGUUCAUCAUGAACUCGCAAAUGUCGAAUCAACAAGUUUUCGAUGUUUGGCAUUACUUAAAGAGCAGGAUAUUUUUAAUGACGACUCUGAUGGCUCUGAUUUGGAAUAAAUAAUGUAAAUUAAAUGUUUAUGUACUUACCUACUAUUGUAUUAUUCUGUAACAAAUAUUAAAUUAAUAAAAAAUAAAAAUAUAUUUUUUGACCAGCUAUAAAUUUUUUUCAGUGUAGUAAGGCCCGAGUAUUUUUAAAUACGGGUUUAUUCUAAUGGGUUUGCCCUAAAAAAUCUCCUGACCAUAACUUUCAAUUUUUCCUUGGGGCAAUCUUAUCAUAUUUAUUCUUACUGUUACAUGGGAGGUGGGCGUGUCAGUUGUCCAAACUUGUCUAACAUCUGUAGAAUGUUUCUGGACUUUACUCAUACAACUCUGUUGCAUGCUGAUAUUUCCCUAAUGAUGAAUCCAAUUUAAAGUCAAAAGUUAUACAUCUGGAAGCGUGCUCUAGCUUAUCCUCCGGCGUUUUUAGCAGCAUUUGGAAGGGUUACGGGUAGAAGAGGGUUGCCUAAAUGCCUUAUGUCCGAUAAUGGCACAAAUUUUCUCGGCGCCAGUAGAUCGUUGCGAAAGAAAUCUCUCUUGUUUUUACGAAAAUCAGCAGAAGAUAUAGACAUAUUUCCCCAAUGUCCGAGGAUCCUGAAGAUUUGCAACCCCUAACUCCUGGUCACUUUUUAAGAGGAGCUCCAUUGAUGUUCACUCCUGAACUUUCUUCAGACAAUUUAUCGAUAACAAACCGAUGGGAGCGGCUCAAGGACUUUCAUCAUCGUCUUAGUCAACGUUGGAAGACUGAAUAUCUUCAUGAACUUCACAAGCGUUACAAAUGGAAAAAUCCACAGCGGAUGAGCUCCUACCUCCAAAUGAGUGGCAAAUGGGACGAGUUGAAUUAUACUGGAAAAGAUAAACGCGUUCGCGUAGCUGACGUCCGGAACCGUUACCAGACCAAUAGUCAAACUUUGCAUGCUUCCGAUUUGUGAUAAGUCAUUAGAUUGACUAGGAUUGUAUGUUCUAUGGAUCAGUUCCCAGAGUCUGAAAUGUGCCUGAUCUGUUUCCGCCUAAUGCAGGCAGUUUAUGAAUAUGACGGUAAAACAAAGACAAUAUGUCGUUCGGG
Lucilia cuprina (Australian sheep blowfly) is the source of this 1318-nucleotide long non-coding RNA. RefSeq lists it as uncharacterized. The transcript is spliced from 3 exons. The record is from RefSeq and is a predicted model, not a curated record. Lineage: Eukaryota; Metazoa; Arthropoda; Insecta; Diptera; Calliphoridae.